AAAAGUACUUUCAUUCAACU
RNAcentral lists this small nuclear RNA (20 nucleotides) under Arabidopsis thaliana (thale cress). RNAcentral's name for it is "snRNA_07532". The record is from RNAcentral. Lineage: Eukaryota; Viridiplantae; Streptophyta; Magnoliopsida; Brassicales; Brassicaceae.